AGGAGCUUUGCACCCCACAGGGAGAGCUGUCGGUAUGAAACUUGCCAGCUUGCUAUGGGCAGUGACUGUCUCCACCUGUCUGGGCUCCAGCAUGGCCCAGACAGUCACUCAGACACAACCAGAAAUGUCCGUGCACGAGGCAGAGACCGUGACCCUGGACUGCACGUAUGACACACCUGACAGCAAUUACUAUUUGUUUUGGUACAAACAGCCUCCCAGCAGGGAGCUGGUUCUCAUUAUUCGCCAAGAAGCUUACAAGCCAGAGAAUGCCACACAGAAUCGUUUCUCUGUGAACUUCCAGAAAGCAGCCAAAGCCUUUAGUCUCAAGAUCUCAGACUUGCAGCUGGAGGAUGCCGGGACGUAUCUCUGUGCUCUCAGGAGCUCACGAUGACACAGAUGGCAGGGAGAACCUUACAGAAACCUCAGACUUCAGCACACAUGCAC
Ochotona curzoniae (black-lipped pika) is the source of this 444-nucleotide non-coding RNA. The record is from the annotation of a RefSeq genome assembly. Lineage: Eukaryota; Metazoa; Chordata; Mammalia; Lagomorpha; Ochotonidae.